This 248-nucleotide ribosomal RNA is filed under the name uncultured Gardnerella sp. Its description in RNAcentral is "partial 16S ribosomal RNA". It matches the Rfam family "Bacterial small subunit ribosomal RNA", at positions 107 to 355 of the family's 1533-position model. Lineage: Bacteria; Bacillati; Actinomycetota; Actinomycetes; Bifidobacteriales; Bifidobacteriaceae. The record is from RNAcentral.
GGAGUAAUGCGUGACCAACCUGCCCCAUGCUCCAGAAUAGCUCUUGGAAACGGGUGGUAAUGCUGGAUGCUCCAACUUGACGCAUGUCUUGUUGGGAAAGUGUUUAGUGGCAUGGGAUGAGGUCGCGUCCUAUCAGCUUGUAGGCGGGGUAAUGGCCCACCUAGGCUUCGACGGGUAGCCGGCCUGAGAGGGCGGACGGCCACAUUGGGACUGAGAUACGGCCCAGACUCCUACGGGAGGCAGCAGUC